Molecule: long non-coding RNA, 342 nt
Organism: Lolium rigidum
Lineage: Eukaryota; Viridiplantae; Streptophyta; Magnoliopsida; Poales; Poaceae
Exons: 4
Source: RefSeq, a predicted model, not a curated record
ACAGGGUGUUGGCCAUAAUGAAGACAACAUCCUCGUUCCUGCUGCUACUAACAUUACAUAUGCUUUGGAUCAGAGCUAUAGUAUUAAACAUGUCAUAGUUGUACCCCAGUCUGUGCGGUGACGUUUCAAACAAACACACCUACAUUUCACUGCCUGACCUUACACAUAUCCAAGACCCAUGUGAUCUUUCCAGGUGAUAAUGUUGAUUGCUGCAGAAGUUCAAGCGGCGCUUCUUGCCAUGGUGUCGAGACAGCUAGUCAUGGGAGCUCAGAACAUAUUCUGCGGUGAUUCUCGGGUUGCUGUCACAUGGGCUGAAGAUCUUCAGCACAUCCAAUUGUGUAA